RNAcentral lists this ribosomal RNA (388 nucleotides) under uncultured bacterium. RNAcentral's name for it is "bacterial SSU rRNA". It matches the Rfam family "Bacterial small subunit ribosomal RNA", at positions 28 to 417 of the family's 1533-position model. The record is from RNAcentral.
GACGAACGCUGGCGGCGUGCUUAACACAUGCAUGUCGAGCGGUAAGGCCCUUUCGGGGGUACACGAGCGGCGAACGGGUGAGUAACACGUGGGUGACCUGCCCUCAGCUCUGGGAUAAGCCUGGGAAACCGGGUCUAAUACUGGAUAUGACUCCAUGACGCAUGUUGUGGGGUGGAAAGCCUUGUGCGGCUGAGGAUGGGCCCGCGGCCUAUCAGCUUGUUGGUGGGGUGAUGGCCUACCAAGGCGACGACGGGUAGCCGGCCUGAGAGGGCGACCGGCCACACUGGGACUGAGACACGGCCCAGACUCCUACGGGAGGCAGCAGUGGGGAAUCUUGCGCAAUGGGCGAAAGCCUGACGCAGCGACGCCGCGUGAGGGAUGACGGCCU